AGCAGCCGCGGUAAUUCCAGCUCCAAUAGCGUAUAUUAAAGUUGUUGCAGUUAAAAAGCUCGUAGUUGAAUUUCGAGACCGGUUUACUGGUCGUGCUUUUGUACGUACUGGUAUAAUCGGUUUCUCUUUUCUGACGAACUAUAAUGCCAUUAAUUUGGUGUUAUAGGGAAUCAGGACUGUUACUUUGAAAAAUUAGAGUGUUUAAAGCAGGCUCACGCUUGAAUACAUUAGCAUGGAAUAACGAAAUAGGACGUUUGAUUUUAUUUUGUUGGUUUCUAGGAUCGACGUAAUGAUUAAUAGGGAUAGUUGGGGGCAUUAGUAUUCAAUUGUCAGAGGUGAAAUUCUUGGAUUUAUUGAAGACUAACUACUGCGAAAGCAUUUGCCAAGGAUGUUUUCAUUAAUCAAGAACGAAAGUUAGGGGAUCGAAGACGAUCAGAUACCGUCGUAGUCUUAACCAUAAACUAUGC
This 467-nucleotide small RNA is filed under the name uncultured Glomus. Its description in RNAcentral is "SSU rRNA". It matches the Rfam family "Eukaryotic small subunit ribosomal RNA", at positions 569 to 1042 of the family's 1831-position model. The record is from RNAcentral. Lineage: Eukaryota; Fungi; Glomeromycota; Glomeromycetes; Glomerales; Glomeraceae.